Molecule: ribosomal RNA, 815 nt
Filed under: Escherichia coli
Lineage: Bacteria; Pseudomonadati; Pseudomonadota; Gammaproteobacteria; Enterobacterales; Enterobacteriaceae
Description: partial 23S ribosomal RNA
Rfam family: Bacterial large subunit ribosomal RNA
Source: RNAcentral
UGUGAGCUCGAUGAGUAGGGCGGGACACGUGGUAUCCUGUCUGAAUAUGGGGGGACCAUCCUCCAAGGCUAAAUACUCCUGACUGACCGAUAGUGAACCAGUACCGUGAGGGAAAGGCGAAAAGAACCCCGGCGAGGGGAGUGAAAAAGAACCUGAAACCGUGUACGUACAAGCAGUGGGAGCACAGAGCAAUCUGUGUGACUGCGUACCUUUUGUAUAAUGGGUCAGCGACUUAUAUUCUGUAGCAAGGUUAACCGAAUAGGGGAGCCGAAGGGAAACCGAGUCUUAACUGGGCGUUAAGUUGCAGGGUAUAGACCCGAAACCCGGUGAUCUAGCCAUGGGCAGGUUGAAGGUUGGGUAACACUAACUGGAGGACCGAACCGACUAAUGUUGAAAAAUUAGCGGAUGACUUGUGGCUGGGGGUGAAAGGCCAAUCAAACCGGGAGAUAGCUGGUUCUCCCCGAAAGCUAUUUAGGUAGCGCCUCGUGAAUUCAUCUCCGGGGGUAGAGCACUGUUUCGGCAAGGGGGUCAUCCCGACUUACCAACCCGAUGCAAACUGCGAAUACCGGAGAAUGUUAUCACGGGAGACACACGGCGGGUGCUAACGUCCGUCGUGAAGAGGGAAACAACCCAGACCGCCAGCUAAGGUCCCAAAGUCAUGGUUAAGUGGGAAACGAUGUGGGAAGGCCCAGACAGCCAGGAUGUUGGCUUAGAAGCAGCCAUCAUUUAAAGAAAGCGUAAUAGCUCACUGGUCGAGUCGGCCUGCGCGGAAGAUGUAACGGGGCUAAACCAUGCACCGAAGCUGCGGCAGCGAC